RNAcentral lists this ribosomal RNA (253 nucleotides) under uncultured bacterium. RNAcentral describes it as "partial 16S ribosomal RNA". It matches the Rfam family "Bacterial small subunit ribosomal RNA", at positions 524 to 776 of the family's 1533-position model. The record is from RNAcentral.
CACGUAGGGCGCGAGCGUUGUCCGGAAUUAUUGGGCGUAAAGAGCUCGUAGGCGGCCUGUUGCGUCCGCUGUGAAAGCCCGGGGCUUAACCCCGGGUCGGCAGUGGAUACGGGCAGGCUAGAGGUAGGUAGGGGAGAAUGGAAUUCCCGGUGUAGCGGUGAAAUGCGCAGAUAUCGGGAGGACCACCGGUGGCGAAGGCGGUUCUCUGGGCCUUACCUGACGCUGAGGAGCGAAAGCGUGGGGAGCGAACAGG